Molecule: ribosomal RNA, 465 nt
Filed under: Vreelandella stevensii
Lineage: Bacteria; Pseudomonadati; Pseudomonadota; Gammaproteobacteria; Oceanospirillales; Halomonadaceae
Description: partial 16S ribosomal RNA
Rfam family: Bacterial small subunit ribosomal RNA
Source: RNAcentral
CCUACGGGGAGCUGCAGUGGGGAAUAUUGGACAAUGGGCGAAAGCCUGAUCCAGCCAUGCCGCGUGUGUGAAGAAGGCCUUCGGGUUGUAAAGCACUUUCAGUGGGGAAGAAAGCCUUGGGGCUAAUACCCUCGAGGAAGGACAUCACCCACAGAAGAAGCACCGGCUAACUCCGUGCCAGCAGCCGCGGUAAUACGGAGGGUGCGAGCGUUAAUCGGAAUUACUGGGCGUAAAGCGCGCGUAGGCGGUCUGAUAAGCCGGUUGUGAAAGCCCCGGGCUCAACCUGGGAACGGCAUCCGGAACUGUCAGGCUAGAGUGCAGGAGAGGAAGGUAGAAUUCCCGGUGUAGCGGUGAAAUGCGUAGAGAUCGGGAGGAAUACCAGUGGCGAAGGCGGCCUUCUGGACUGACACUGACGCUGAGGUGCGAAAGCGUGGGUAGCAAACAGGAUUAGAUACCCCUGUAGUC